CAGGCUUAACACAUGCAAGUCGAGGGGCAGCAUUUUAGUUUGCUUGCAAACUGAAGAUGGCGACCGGCGCACGGGUGAGUAACACGUAUCCAACCUGCCGAUAACUCCGGAAUAGCCUUUCGAAAGAAAGAUUAAUACCGGAUAGCAUACGAAUAUCGCAUGAUAUUUUUAUUAAAGAAUUUCGGUUAUCGAUGGGGAUGCGUUCCAUUAGUUUGUUGGCGGGGUAACGGCCCACCAAGACUACGAUGGAUAGGGGUUCUGAGAGGAAGGUCCCCCACAUUGGAACUGAGACACGGUCCAAACUCCUACGGGAGGCAGCAGUGAGGAAUAUUGGUCAAUGGGCGAGAGCCUGAACCAGCCAAGUAGCGUGAAGGAUGAAGGCUCUAUGGGUCGUAAACUUCUUUUAUAUGGGAAUAAAGUUUUCCACGUGUGGAAUUUUGUAUGUACCAUAUGAAUAAGGAUCGGCUAACUCCGUGCCAGCAGCCGCGGUAAUACGGAGGAUCCGAGCGUUAUCCGGAUUUAUUGGGUUUAAAGGGAGCGUAGGUGGAUUGUUAAGUCAGUUGUGAAAGUUUGCGGCUCAACCGUAAAAUUGCAGUUGAAACUGGCAGUCUUGAGUACAGUAGAGGUGGGCGGAAUUCGUGGUGUAGCGGUGAAAUGCUUAGAUAUCACGAAGAACUCCGAUUGCGAAGGCAGCUCACUAGACUGUCACUGACACUGAUGCUCGAAAGUGUGGGUAUCAAACAGGAUUAGAUACCCUGGUAGUCCACACAGUAAACGAUGAAUACUCGCUGUUUGCGAUAUACAGUAAGCGGCCAAGCGAAAGCAUUAAGUAUUCCACCUGGGGAGUACGCCGGCAACGGUGAAACUCAAAGGAAUUGACGGGGGCCCGCACAAGCGGAGGAACAUGUGGUUUAAUUCGAUGAUACGCGAGGAACCUUACCCGGGCUUAAAUUGCAACAGAAUAUAUUGGAAACAGUAUAGCCGUAAGGCUGUUGUGAAGGUGCUGCAUGGUUGUCGUCAGCUCGUGCCGUGAGGUGUCGGCUUAAGUGCCAUAACGAGCGCAACCCUUAUCUUUAGUUACUAACAGGUUAUGCUGAGGACUUUAGAGAGACUGCCGUCGUAAGAUGUGAGGAAGGUGGGGAUGACGUCAAAUCAGCACGGCCCUUACGUCCGGGGCUACACACGUGUUACAAUGGGGGGUACAGAAGGCGGCUACCUGGUGACAGGAUGCUAAUCCCAAAAACCUCUCUCAGUUCGGAUCGAAGUCUGCAACCCGACUUCGUGAAGCUGGAUUCGCUAGUAAUCGCGCAUCAGCCAUGGCGCGGUGAAUACGUUCCCGGGCCUUGUACACACCGCCCGUCAAGCCAUGAAAGCCGGGGGUACCUGAAGUACGUAACCGCAAGGAGCGUCCUAGGGUAAAACUGGUAAUUGGGG
Molecule: ribosomal RNA, 1434 nt
Filed under: uncultured organism
Description: 16S ribosomal RNA
Rfam family: Bacterial small subunit ribosomal RNA
Source: RNAcentral